Schizosaccharomyces pombe (fission yeast) is the source of this 209-nucleotide non-coding RNA. The record is from the annotation of a GenBank genome assembly. Lineage: Eukaryota; Fungi; Ascomycota; Schizosaccharomycetes; Schizosaccharomycetales; Schizosaccharomycetaceae.
UAACGUUAUGCGGAUAAACUAUACAACACGCUUUACUUCGAAAAGUCGCUUUAAGUAGAAAAUUUGGAAUACACAUACGGAAACUAGAAUAACGGUUUGAAGAAUACUCCACCACUUGACGCGGUCAUUUGUGCUUUCAGCAGUAUUGCGAUGUAUUCUUUCACGAGCCACAAAAUACUCCUGCUCAUGUUUUACCUUGGAGAUGGUAU